GAGGGGCAGCAUUUUUGUAGCAAUACGAAAGAUGGCGACCGGCGAAUGGGUGAGUAACACGUAUCCAACCUGCCUGUCAGUCAGGGAUAGGCUCCCGAAAGGGAAAUUAAUAUCUGAUGCAACAUGAUUGAAGCAUUUUGAUUAUGUUAAAGAUUUAUUGCUGACAGAUGGGGAUGCGUCUGAUUAGUUAGUUGGCGGGGUAACGGCCCACCAAGGCGACGAUCAGUAGGGGUUCUGAGAGGAAGGUCCCCCACAUUGGAACUGAGACACGGUCCAAACUCCUACGGGAGGCAGCAGUGAGGAAUAUUGGUCAAUGGGCGGAAGCCUGAACCAGCCAAGUAGCGUGUAGGAAGACUGCCCUAUGGGUUGUAAACUACUUUUAUACGGGAACAAAGUCACUUACGAGUUAGGUGUUUGCGUGUACCGUAGGAAUAAGCAUCGGCUAAUUCCGUGCCAGCAGCCGCGGUAAUACGGAAGAUGCGAGCGUUAUCCGGAUUUAUUGGGUUUAAAGGGAGCGUAGGCGGGUAUUCAAGUCAGUUGUGAAAGUCUGCGGCUUAACCGUAGAAUUGCAGUUGAUACUGAAUAUCUUGAGUGCACAUAAGGAUGGUGGAAUUUGUGGUGUAGCGGUGAAAUGCAUAGAUAUCACGAAGAACUCCGAUUGCGAAGGCAGCUAUCUGGGGUGCUACUGACGCUGAGGCUCGAAAGUGCGGGUAUCAAACAGGAUUAGAUACCCUGGUAGUCCGCACAGUAAACGAUGGAUACUCGUGGUUGGCGAUAGACAGUCAGUCACCAAGCGAAAGCGAUAAGUAUCCCACCUGGGGAGUACGCCGGCAACGGUGAAACUCAAAGGAAUUGACGGGGGCCCGCACAAGCGGAGGAACAUGUGGUUUAAUUCGAUGAUACGCGAGGAACCUUACCCGGGCUUGAAUUGCACUGGACGGGAUCAGAGAUGGUUCUUUCUUCGGACCAGUGUGAAGGUGCUGCAUGGUUGUCGUCAGCUCGUGCCGUGAGGUGUCGGCUUAAGUGCCAUAACGAGCGCAACCCUUUUUUCUGGUUGCCAUCAGGUAAUGCUGGGCACUCCAGAGAUACUGCCAUCGUAAGAUGUGAGGAAGGUGGGGAUGACGUCAAAUCAGCACGGCCCUUACGUCCGGGGCUACACACGUGUUACAAUGGGAUAUACAGAAGGCAGCUACCUGGUGACAGGAUGCGAAUCCCGAAAGUAUCCCCCAGUUCGGACUGGAGUCUGCAACCCGACUCCACGAAGCCGGAUUCGCUAGUAAUCGCGCAUCAGCCAUGGCGCGGUGAAUAUGUUCCCGGGCC
This 1320-nucleotide ribosomal RNA is filed under the name uncultured bacterium. RNAcentral describes it as "bacterial SSU rRNA". It matches the Rfam family "Bacterial small subunit ribosomal RNA", at positions 64 to 1380 of the family's 1533-position model. The record is from RNAcentral.